UACGUAGGGUGCGAGCGUUAAUCGGAAUUACUGGGCGUAAAGGGUGCGCAGGCGGAUAUAUAAGUUAGAUGUGAAAUCCCCGGGCUUAACCUGGGAAUGGCAUUUAAGACUGUAUGUCUAGAGUUUGUCAGAGGGGGGUAGAAUUCCAAGUGUAGCAGUGAAAUGCGUAGAGAUUUGGAGGAAUACCAGUGGCGAAGGCGGCCCCCUGGGAUAAAACUGACGCUCAGGCACGAAAGCGUGGGUAGCAAACAGG
RNAcentral lists this ribosomal RNA (253 nucleotides) under uncultured bacterium. RNAcentral's name for it is "partial 16S ribosomal RNA". It matches the Rfam family "Bacterial small subunit ribosomal RNA", at positions 524 to 776 of the family's 1533-position model. The record is from RNAcentral.